RNAcentral lists this ribosomal RNA (684 nucleotides) under Conocybe dumetorum. RNAcentral's name for it is "eukaryotic LSU rRNA". The stretch from base 293 to 446 matches the Rfam family "5.8S ribosomal RNA". Lineage: Eukaryota; Fungi; Basidiomycota; Agaricomycetes; Agaricales; Bolbitiaceae. The record is from RNAcentral.
GAAGUAAAAGUCGUAACAAGGUUUCCGUAGGUGAACCUGCGGAAGGAUCAUUAUUGAAUAAACUUGAUGGAUUGUUGCUGGCUCUUCUAUGGAGCAAGUGCACGUCUGUCAUUUUUAUCUUUCCACCAUGUGCACUAUGCAUAGACCUGGAUAACUUUAAUCAAAGUAUUUCUUUGAUUUUUGGAGAUUGCUGCUUAGCUUUCUCUGCGUUCAGGUUCUAUGAACUUUAUAUACACACCUGUAUGUCAAUGAACGUUAUAAAGGGCUUCUAUAGCCUAUAAAUUUAUAAUACAGCUUUCAGCAACGGAUCUCUUGGCUCUCGCAUCGAUGAAGAACGCAGCGAAAUGCGAUAAGUAAUGUGAAUUGCAGAAUUCAGUGAAUCAUCAAAUCUUUGAACGCACCUUGCGCUCCUUGGUAUUCCGAGGAGCAUGCCUGUUUGAGUGUCAUUAAAUUCUCAAUCUCUAUAUCUUUGUGAUGUUAGCGAUUGGAUAUGGGGGUACUUUGUGGGCCUUGAUUAGGUUCACUCCCCUGAAAUACAUUAGCUGGAAUGCCUUUGCAAACCAACUAUCAGUGUGAUAAUUAUCAGUACUGGAGUUGAUGCAUGAGGGAAUCUGCUAUCUAAUUGUCUUCUAGACAACCUGAAUAAAUUUGACCUCAAAUCAGGUAGGACUACCCGCUGAACUU